UACGAAGGGGGCUAGCGUUGCUCGGAAUUACUGGGCGUAAAGCGUGCGCAGGCGGUUGUGCAAGACAGAUGUGAAAUCCCCGGGCUUAGCCUGGGAACUGCAUUUGUGACUGCACGGCUAGAGUGUGUCAGAGGGGGGUAGAAUUCCACGUGUAGCAGUGAAAUGCGUAGAUAUGUGGAGGAAUACCGAUGGCGAAGGCAGCCCCCUGGGAUAACACUGACGCUCAUGCACGAAAGCGUGGGGAGCAAACAGG
RNAcentral lists this ribosomal RNA (253 nucleotides) under uncultured bacterium. RNAcentral describes it as "partial 16S ribosomal RNA". It matches the Rfam family "Bacterial small subunit ribosomal RNA", at positions 524 to 776 of the family's 1533-position model. The record is from RNAcentral.